Pistacia vera is the source of this 1329-nucleotide long non-coding RNA. RefSeq lists it as uncharacterized. Lineage: Eukaryota; Viridiplantae; Streptophyta; Magnoliopsida; Sapindales; Anacardiaceae. The transcript is spliced from 3 exons. The record is from RefSeq and is a predicted model, not a curated record.
AGGAUAUUGUUUGGGGGCGGAUUUGGAGGUUAUGUAGCAAGUUGUAUCAUAGAGCUCCCUUUGUUUUGAUCGAGUUUCUUUUUUGUUGUCACUAAGUGAGACAAGAAGCUCAAAUCGUUCUCAUUUUCCUGCAUGGAAGUAUUUAUCGUUCAGAGUUAUUUCUGCGUAGAAAUUAAUCUCCACAGCAAAGGCUGUCCCAUCUGCUACAUCAAUGAACUGAUUAAAGAGAUCCUUGGAUAUGAAGGCAUACAAACUCUUGCUGCUCAUUCUUCCUCCUUGAGCUGUAGAAAGAUUCCUGCGGUAAAGCUAUACUCUCUCUUUAUCUUAUUUUCAAUGAGGAUUUUUCUUGGGGGAUUAUGGCCGUCCUUCUUUCAGUUUCUCUCAGGAUAAUUGGAGGUAUUUUUUGUGCUUAUAGUUUGUGCUUUCAAGUCUGUUCAAGGUUAAAUAGUAUUGCCGUUUGUUUACUAUCAGUUUAAGGAGCUUGUGUUUGGAUCCACAUAACAAGUCAAUUAUAAUAUUUAGUCAAGUGAUAGGAUAAUGACAGUUAAAAUAAAAAUUACACAGUUUCUUUCUUCCUUUUGCUGAAGAAAAAUUCUUUUAAACCCUUUUCUACUAUGUAAUACAAUUUACAAAGCAAGAUGCAUAUUGUUACCGAAAUUUUAUUUCUAUAGAUUUGCCUAUCUAAAUGGAACAUGAGUAAUCAGGACUUAUGAAAACACUGAGUUCUGUCAAGUCACUGGAACAAUCUUGAAAAUGCUGAGUUCACUUGUGUUUGUAUGUAGUAUUAUAAUGUAACGUUCCAUUAUUACGCCAUUGCAUUUGUGAAUUGGCAGACUAUUUUUCAUAACAAUUUUGAAGGUGAUUGGAAGAAGUAAAACUCUGAUUAUGAGAAUUUGAUGUUGAUCUUAAUUGUUAUUGUUGUGGGUGUAGAUAUCAUAUUGCACUUGUAAUCUCUAGCCAAAUGAGAGAAGCUACCCUUUUUUAAGAGGUACUGGAAGGAGAGGCAGGCGAUAUAUGAGUUCUUUUAACUGUUAAAAACUUUUUGUGUUGAAUUUGAUUGUUAGUACAUUAGAAUCUUGAUUUUAGUUGGGUGAAAUGGUUUAUUGACUAUUGACAUGGUGGUGGAAGCCAGCUGCAAGCAUUGAUAAAACAGGCCUUCAAAUUGCCAUUGUUUGCCUCUUCUACUGCUUUCUUAAAUUUUCCCUUGCUGUAUAUACAAGACCAAAUUCUCAGAUGAUAUGUUUAGAAUAUUAUGGACUUGGGCUGUUCAUUUCUGUUUGCAGAUUUCUGUGGAACAUGUAUCAUAAUUGAAUUGUUAUAAUAAUAAAU